CAGCCGCCGCGGUAAUACGGAGGGUGCAAGCGUUAUCCGGAUUCACUGGGUUUAAAUGGUGCGUAGGCGGGCAGGUAAGUCAGUGGUGAAAUCUUCGAGCUUAACUCGGAAACUGCCGUUGAUACUAUCUGUCUUGAAUAACGUUGAGGUGAGCGGAAUAUGUCAUGUAGCGGUGAAAUGCUUAGAUAUGACAUAGAACACCGAUUGCGAAGGCAGCUCACUAAACGCUCAUUGACGCUGAGGCACGAAAGCGUGGGGAUCAAACAGGAUUAGAUACCCCCGUAGUCCCUGUCUCUUAUAC
This 301-nucleotide ribosomal RNA is filed under the name uncultured bacterium. RNAcentral describes it as "partial 16S ribosomal RNA". It matches the Rfam family "Bacterial small subunit ribosomal RNA", at positions 509 to 807 of the family's 1533-position model. The record is from RNAcentral.